RNAcentral lists this transfer RNA (71 nucleotides) under Kumanoa mahlacensis. RNAcentral describes it as "tRNA-Gly". It matches the Rfam family "tRNA". From Rfam's summary of the family: Transfer RNA (tRNA) molecules are approximately 80 nucleotides in length. Their secondary structure includes four short double-helical elements and three loops (D, anti-codon, and T loops). The record is from RNAcentral. Lineage: Eukaryota; Rhodophyta; Florideophyceae; Batrachospermales; Batrachospermaceae.
GCGAAUAUAGAUAAAUGGUAUAUCAUUAUUUUUCCAAAUUAAAGUUGCGGGUUCGAGUCCCGUUUUUCGCU